Carassius carassius (crucian carp) is the source of this 1230-nucleotide long non-coding RNA. RefSeq lists it as uncharacterized. The transcript has 2 exons. Lineage: Eukaryota; Metazoa; Chordata; Actinopteri; Cypriniformes; Cyprinidae. The record is from RefSeq and is a predicted model, not a curated record.
ACAUUUUGGGCAUGCCUAAAUAAACAACAUUUCUUUAUAACGCAAAUAACCGUGUUAUGGCCAAACAUGCUGUUUCUGUGUGGCUGGAACGUCAUCAAUAGGUCUGUUGAAACAGAAUAGCGAUGCAAUCUCAGCAGCAGCAGGAGGCAUGAGGAGGAGGAGACAAAGGAACUCAGGCACAUGAUGAGGAUGAGAGAGUGACUCAACAUUCAGGUGUGUCGGCCUCAGAUGGGCGGACCUGAUCUCCUCGGUCGCUGCUUGGGACACUGUCCGAGCUUUCCCUAACACUGGACUCCCGGUACUGCCUCAGGACUAACCCGACACUGACCGACCACCCUAGCAGAAACUUAAACCAAGUCUUACGUAAUUUUCCCCAGCGUGCUCGGAAUAUGUUGUUUAAAGUGUUUCGGCGAACUCUUCUGUAGAUCCGAGUUUGAUCGUAUUAUCUUAGAGCAUCUGCGGCUAGUAAAGUAGCUAGCCUAGCUGCGUUUCAAAACAACUGAAUAAAUUACAACGGAGGAGUUGUCGAGUAAUGGACACAAGUUUGAUCAAGCGGCUCGGAGAGACGGAACUUAAGAAGCAGAUCAAGGCUUGAGGUUUGGUAGGAUUGAAUGUUUUUUACAGGUGUGUCCGUUAAAUCGCCCCACAUGUCAAGCGUUUCUGUGGAUCGUGCGCAUGACUGUUUGAUUUUCAUAUUAUAAAGACGCAAGGUCGCUUAUCCCAGAAGGACCGUCUGUUCAUUAUAAUCUUAUACCGUAAAGUUGUUGUGGCUUUACGAAUGAUUCUCCUUUAUUAAUAUGUUCCCUUCAAUUGAUUGUUAAAUCGAGUUGUAACACAGUUAGAGCGCCAGAUAGUUUCGCUUUUACCUUGGGCAUGUUUGUAUUUGGGAAUUUCGUUGUGAUUUUCUCUUGCCUGAUAAGCGGACCUCAUUCUAGUAUUAGGGGACCGACAGGGAGUUUUCUCACUUCCGGCUUGAAGCUGCAUUCCUACAGUGUUUUGGAGUAGCAGUGAUCUUUCAAAGUGUGGGAAGCUACCAGUCCCUGCAUGCAUCGGUUAAACAGGCAAAAUGGAGUUGUUGUGACUAAGAUGCAAUCUAUAUAUCUGGGAAAUCAAGAUUUGGAGACGAAACAACUUGGAUCUCAAACAAACUGCUCUGUUUUCCGGAUGACUUGGUUCCUCUACUCUGCAUUACAUGCAUCGUCAGCAAUUAAAUAACCGUUCACGUUUUAA